UUAGUAUCAUCAUUUCCAUUAUUGUAAUUCUAAUCCUAACUAAUUGUAAAUAUUUAAAUAUGUUUACCCUUAACCUAGCCUCAACUCUCACUAAUGACAUAUUUUGGCUUCCUAACGCUAUCUGUAAUUCAAAAUGUAAUGAACAGAUUUACACAACUUUAAUCAAUCCUGACUCUAAGAUUAACUUUAAUAUUUUACCAUCAUUUAUGAUCCCAAGCACCUUAUAAUUACUAAUGCAAUCUCUACUUCGCUAACACAAUUUUUAUACUCUUAAACUUGGCAUCAUUAUCCCUCUAACCCUGAUCACUAGGAAAAGAGUAAUAGACAUCAAAAGUCCACUAUUAAUUUUGAAACCUUAACAUUGCAAAGAUAGAUAGCAAUGAUCUUAGAUGUCAAGAGCAUAUAUCUGCCUAUAGUUAAUGAAAUAAUCAGCUUUUUGUAACUGUAUACUGUUGGAGACAUGUUAGCAUAAACCUUUUUUAUGACAUUUUUUGCAUUGCCAUCCUGUAUUGCGGAUUGGAAAUAAGAUAUUACCCACUUGUGAAAUCUAUCAAAUCAAACCAGAAAGAUCUAAG
Molecule: non-coding RNA, 575 nt
Organism: Pelobates cultripes (western spadefoot toad)
Lineage: Eukaryota; Metazoa; Chordata; Amphibia; Anura; Pelobatidae
Source: the annotation of a GenBank genome assembly